This 256-nucleotide unclassified non-coding RNA is filed under the name fungal sp. Its description in RNAcentral is "partial contains 5.8S ribosomal RNA, internal transcribed spacer 2, and large subunit ribosomal RNA". The record is from RNAcentral. Lineage: Eukaryota; Fungi.
CGCACAUUGCGCCCAUGAGUAUUCUCUUGGGCAUGCCUGUUCGAGCGUCAUUUCAACCCUUAAGCCUAGCUUAGUGUUGGGAAUCUACUGUGGGUGUUUGGCCCUGUAGUUCCCGAAAACCAACGGCGGACUUGUAGUAUCCUCUGAGCGUAGUAAUUAUUUCCUCGCUUCUGUCAGGCGCUAUAAAUCUUGCCGCUAAACCCCUAAACUUUUAAAGGUUGACCUCGGAUCAGGUAGGAAUACCCGCUGAACUUAA